Non-coding RNA from Gracilinanus agilis (Agile Gracile Mouse Opossum), 168 nucleotides. RefSeq annotates it as small Cajal body-specific RNA 1. The transcript has a single exon. Lineage: Eukaryota; Metazoa; Chordata; Mammalia; Didelphimorphia; Didelphidae. The record is from RefSeq and is a predicted model, not a curated record.
AAGCACUUGAUACUAACCAAGCUAUCUGUAUCCUGAUGCUGCUCCAGAAGGUUGGGAUGUAUCUUGUGAUAGCUGGGUUUUAUAAGUGCAAUAUUAAAGUAAACCAUGAGUCUUUUAAGCCCAGCAUGUGGAGGUGAGCACGCUGGGUUAUAACUCAAAGGUACAGCA